UGUUGGGAGUCACAGUGAAAAUCACAGCAACAAUGUGUAGAGCAGUUAUAUUAUAUAAACAAGAGUAGGCCAACGAAACCACAACAAUAUAGCAUGCACGAAGAUCGUAUACACAAUAAUCAGUGACUGAUAAAUUACGAGAAAAGAAGAGAAAGGCGCACCUUACACCGUCGCUAGAAUUAGUAUACAGAACAGCUGAGUCGCCUAGCCCUUCGAUGAAGACUAGACUGUUCUUG
This 236-nucleotide long non-coding RNA is filed under the name Daucus carota (carrot). Its description in RNAcentral is "long non-coding RNA (DCAR_LNC000016)". Lineage: Eukaryota; Viridiplantae; Streptophyta; Magnoliopsida; Apiales; Apiaceae. The record is from RNAcentral.